RNAcentral lists this long non-coding RNA (1729 nucleotides) under Homo sapiens (human). Its description in RNAcentral is "HSALNT0372217". The record is from RNAcentral. Lineage: Eukaryota; Metazoa; Chordata; Mammalia; Primates; Hominidae.
GGCGCGCACCCGGGACAGUUUCCAGUCGGCUUCUCCGUGACCUUCCUCCCCCUUCCAGCUCGGAGCGGGAUGCUGGGAUCCCUCCAAGGACCCUCUGAGGACGUAGGAGGGAUGCUGAGACAGGGCCAGCUUCAAACCUUGUCAAGCUCUGACAAGGGAAGAUGAAGCCUAGUUCCAGCUAGGGGUGACCUGUCUAUCUGCAUUUUUUGAGCUGCAGAGUGAUGGGAGUCAUAUUCGCUGCCUGUGCAGCACCACAGGCCUGAUGAAAAUGAAAUGGCAACACCGUGCAGAUGGCAAAGCGUAGGCCUCACAAACAUCCUGGCCGUGAAGAGCUUGUCUUCAAGAGUAGCUGGUGCAGAAACUCGCUCGGACUGACCUGGAAGAAGACCCUGAGGAGAACCCGGGCACACAGCAGCCAUUCCAGUCCUCAGCUUCAAGGGGGCUCACGAAGGUUGUGGAUCCUUGCCCAGCCUGCAGUGGGGACCUGGUGUGGCAUUGAGUGGCUGUGAGUGCUCAGUGUCCCCCAUCUCAUGCUAAGCACAGCGAAGUAGGGGGAGAUUGCGUAGUGUGCUGAUGGAGCAGUUGCCUCCACCUGGCUGCGUGUCCCUCCGUCAUGUGACAGAAAAGAAGAAGGCAAUGGUGUUUUUCUGUAGCAAGUCACUAUUUAUGGAAGAGGAGACCCUUUAUCUGCAUCGCAAUUCUGAAGAUUCCACUUUGUUCCAGUCAUUGUUGUGGGCACACUUUCAACAUUUGAUUAAGAGCCAUAAGGGUGGCUUCCUCCACCCACAGAAAAAUUCCUCUAAGGAAUCAUGAGACCGUCGACAUUUAGCAGCUGUUUAAAAGACUGUUUAGACUCCUGGGAUGAUGAUGGGGAAUUCCUGGAAUUAUGGUCUUGGGCAAGAAGGGAACUCAAGUAGGAAAGUCAGCAAUCUAAAUUUCAAACCUCAGGGAACCUUCUUUGUAUAACCUGAUAAUCUCCUUCGCUCAACACAGUGCUUGCUGAGUGAAGGAGUGUAAUGGAAAAGAAAGUUAAUAAUCCCUUGUGCUCUGGAUCAAAAAUGAGGUAGGAGACCAAAUUUUCCAUCAAACUGGUUGGGUCCAAUCACUUAAUGCAAAAUGCUUACUUCAGGGUCUGUAGCACUUGUUGAUCAAUGUACCUAACAGGUCUUAAUAGAGAAAGUGAUCAAUUCAAGCAGUGUCUUCCCAAAUUCUAUAUAUAUAUAACAGAUAUUGCUGCAUAACAAACCAGACAACGCUUAAUAGUUUAAGGCAACCGUUUUAUUAUUCCCCAGAGUUCUAUGCGUGGACCAAGGUCACUUGGGCCCUAGUCUUGUGAUGUCACUUGGACCACAGUCAUUGGGAGGUUCACCAGGUGGAAGCCUCCAUGACAGCUCAAUCCCAUAGCUGCCAGUGGGUACGGCACCUACACGUGGCUGCUUGUAUGGCCUGGGAUUUUCACAGCACAGCAGCAGGGGCUGAGAGGCAGAGUCCUAGGAGUGAUUGUCCCCAGAGAGCAGAAGCAAAAGCUCUCAUCAGUCUUCUAAGAGGCUGAGCUGACAAUGGGCACAGCACCACUCUGCCAUCAUCUAUGGCUUAAGCAUUCACAGGGCCAGGCUAAAUUCAGGCUGUCGGAAGAUAAACUCCACCUCUCAAUGGAGAGAGUUCAAAGCAACUGUGGCCAUCUUUACCCCAUCAGCUUUCUUGCCAAGAAAUAAAGCUCUACAUGACA